CAGUAGCCGCGGUAAUACGAAGGGGGCUAGCGUUGUUCGGAUUUACUGGGCGUAAAGGGCGCGUAGGCGGAUUUGUAAGUCAGGGGUGAAAUCCCGAGGCUCAACCUCGGAACUGCCUUUGAUACUGUGGAUCUUGAGUCCGGGAGAGGUGAGUGGAACUGCGAGUGUAGAGGUGAAAUUCGUAGAUAUUCGCAAGAACACCAGUGGCGAAGGCGGCUCACUGGCCCGGAACUGACGCUGAGGCGCGAAAGCGUGGGGAGCAAACAGGAUUAGAUACCCCGGUAGUCCCUGUCUCUUAUAC
RNAcentral lists this ribosomal RNA (301 nucleotides) under uncultured bacterium. Its description in RNAcentral is "partial 16S ribosomal RNA". It matches the Rfam family "Bacterial small subunit ribosomal RNA", at positions 509 to 807 of the family's 1533-position model. The record is from RNAcentral.